GAUGAAGAACGCAGCGAAAUGCGAUAAGUAAUGUGAAUUGCAGAAUUCAGUGAAUCAUCGAAUCUUUGAACGCACCUUGCGCCCUUUGGCUAUUCCAGAGGGCAUGCCUGUUUGAGUAUCAUGAACACCUCAACUCUCAUGGUUCUGCCAUGAUGAGCUUGGACUUUGGAGGUCUUGCUGGCCCCUGUGGUCAGCUCCUCUCAAAUGGAUCAGCUUGCCAGUGUUUGGUGGCAUCACAGGUGUGAUAACUAUCUACGCUUGUGGUUUUCCACCAGGUAACCUUCAGUGAUGGAGGUUCGCUGGAGCUCAUAAACGUCUCUCCUCAGCAAGGACAGCUUCUUGAAUGUUUGAUCUCAAAUCAGGUAGGGCUACCCGCUGAACUUAAGCAUAUCAAUAGGCGGAGGA
RNAcentral lists this unclassified non-coding RNA (405 nucleotides) under soil metagenome. RNAcentral describes it as "partial contains 5.8S ribosomal RNA, internal transcribed spacer 2, and large subunit ribosomal RNA". The stretch from base 1 to 121 matches the Rfam family "5.8S ribosomal RNA", at positions 35 to 154 of the family's 154-position model. The record is from RNAcentral.